This 789-nucleotide ribosomal RNA is filed under the name Rothia sp. (in: high G+C Gram-positive bacteria). Its description in RNAcentral is "bacterial SSU rRNA". It matches the Rfam family "Bacterial small subunit ribosomal RNA", at positions 651 to 1437 of the family's 1533-position model. Lineage: Bacteria; Bacillati; Actinomycetota; Actinomycetes; Micrococcales; Micrococcaceae. The record is from RNAcentral.
GUAGGGGAGACUGGAAUUCCUGGUGUAGCGGUGGAAUGCGCAGAUAUCAGGAGGAACACCGAUGGCGAAGGCAGGUCUCUGGGCUGUAACUGACGCUGAGAAGCGAAAGCAUGGGGAGCGAACAGGAUUAGAUACCCUGGUAGUCCAUGCCGUAAACGUUGGGCACUAGGUGUGGGGGACAUUCCACGUUUUCCGCGCCGUAGCUAACGCAUUAAGUGCCCCGCCUGGGGAGUACGGCCGCAAGGCUAAAACUCAAAGAAAUUGACGGGGGCCCGCACAAGCGGCGGAGCAUGCGGAUUAAUUCGAUGCAACGCGAAGAACCUUACCAAGGCUUGACAUAUACUGGACUCCCCUAGAGAUAGGGUUUCCCUUCGGGGCUGGUAUACAGGUGGUGCAUGGUUGUCGUCAGCUCGUGUCGUGAGAUGUUGGGUUAAGUCCCGCAACGAGCGCAACCCUCGUUCUAUGUUGCCAGCACGUGAUGGUGGGGACUCAUAGGAGACUGCCGGGGUCAACUCGGAGGAAGGUGGGGAUGACGUCAAAUCAUCAUGCCCCUUAUGUCUUGGGCUUCACGCAUGCUACAAUGGCCGGUACAAAGGGUUGCGAUACUGUGAGGUUGAGCUAAUCCCAAAAAGCCGGUCUCAGUUCGGAUUGGGGUCUGCAACUCGACCCCAUGAAGUCGGAGUCGCUAGUAAUCGCAGAUCAGCAACGCUGCGGUGAAUACGUUCCCGGGCCUUGUACACACCGCCCGUCAAGUCACGAAAGUUGGUAACACCCGAAGCCGAUGGCCUA